Tribolium castaneum (red flour beetle) is the source of this 1353-nucleotide long non-coding RNA. RefSeq lists it as uncharacterized. The transcript has 2 exons. The record is from RefSeq and is a predicted model, not a curated record. Lineage: Eukaryota; Metazoa; Arthropoda; Insecta; Coleoptera; Tenebrionidae.
AGUUAUUAUUAUGAAGUUUUAUUAUUAAGUUAGACAGUUAAAGACUAGAUAUUUGAAAACUGGCCGAAAACGGCUUAUUAUUACCUCAAACAUCGAUUCACAGACGAUUUCUGGCUCAGAAACUAGAAAACUUUCAUAGAACAAUGGGAAAAAGCCUCAUUCUAACUUAAAAAUACUAUUUGCAAAAGUAAAACCAUUUUAACAAGAACUUAUGUAAAAUGAUCCUGAAAAAAGCAAAAAUUACGUUUUUUCUUUAAAUUUUGCUAAAUUUGAAAACUGGAAAUAUAACACGUGACAUUAUUAGCUACUAAACUAGACGGUAUUAACAUUUUGACUACACUUUAAUAAAAUUUUAUGAGGCUAUUAAUUCCAUUAUUUGUUACGUGACACCAGCAGAAAUUGUUUCAAGUUUUCGACAUAUCUGUAACGGCAUAUUUUUCCCACGUGAAAUUCGUAAAAUCGAAACAGACGUACACAUAUUAAAUAUUUUUAUGCAAAUUUAUCAAACCCACGCUGACACACCUGACACGACUAUAAAUGUUCACAUCUUUAAAAAAUCUUCAUCAACAAUAAUUAUUGCAAGAAUAAAUUUAUUUGUCGAAUAAUUUUGAUUUUCAAGCUGAAAAAGGGGGUUACGACCCGGUUCCGGUCUCAUCUUUAAUUCAUGCGCUAAUUUUCUUGGAUUCUGUCCAGAUUUUUUUCGUGGUAGAGGUCGAAUUGGCCAACAUCCUGACCCGUUGCAUGUCAUAAAUGUAAUUACCAUAACAAUUGUAUAACAUUCCGUUUACAGUCUAUUGGUUUAUAAGGCAACCUAAAUUCGCAUUGAAAUGUCGGAGAGGAGAUUUGUAUCGCAGGGCGUGAUUUAUUUUGCAAUUUGUUUGAUUGUUCCCCUUUUUGCAAAAUUAUUCGCAAUAAUUUCAGUUUUUUUUUUUCAAUUAGUUUAAACGUAUUUUUGUUCUUGAUAAAAUCUUCCGUGCUAAUUAACGUUAAAAUAAUCUUGUGUUUUGUUUUAAUUGUCAAGGCGACGUUGUUGAUUCAUUUUGAUAAAUUAAUAAAGGUUUUUAACAAAGGAUUUGUUUCGAAAAUUUUGUAGUGUGAAUCAUCGAGGUCAUUUUUGAUAUCAAUUGCGGAAACGCUAUCCAUCUUGAGUCGAAUGAUCCUAAAAUGAUUAGCAUCCUUUUCGACAAAGGAAUGUUCUGUCCAAAUAAAAAAAUUGCAACAUAUUGUUAAAAAAUGGAUUAAUGGAGGAAAUUUCUUGCCGUAAGAUCGCAAAUUGCGAGAGCAUUUCGAAGUGAUAGUGAGUGCAUAACCAAGCUGUAAUCAUUGCAUAAAUAAAAGUUUUUGUUGAAUAAA